AAUCUAUGAUAUGGGCAGCAUCUCAAAAGAUCCUUAAAACUCUCCCAUGCAUCCUACAUGCUUUCAUCAUCAAACUGCAUAAAAGAAGAUAUAUCAUUUAUAAGUUU
This 107-nucleotide small nucleolar RNA is filed under the name Ricinus communis (castor bean). RNAcentral describes it as "Plant small nucleolar RNA R71". It matches the Rfam family "Plant small nucleolar RNA R71". From Rfam's summary of the family: R71 is a member of the C/D box family of snoRNAs containing the C (UGAUGA) and D (CUGA) box motifs. Multiple nearly identical copies of this snoRNA have been identified in Arabidopsis, and it is thought to function as a 2'-O-ribose methylation guide for 18S ribosomal RNA. Lineage: Eukaryota; Viridiplantae; Streptophyta; Magnoliopsida; Malpighiales; Euphorbiaceae. The record is from Rfam by way of RNAcentral.